UAGGGAAUCUUCGACAAUGGGGGGAACCCUGACCGAGCAACGCCGCGUGAGUGAAGAAGGUUUUCGGAUCGUAAAGCUCUGUUGUUAAGGAAGAACGAGUGUGAGAAUGGAAAGUUCAUACUGUGACGGUACUUAACCAGAAAGGGACGGCUAACUACGUGCCAGCAGCCGCGGUAAUACGUAGGUCCCGAGCGUUGUCCGGAUUUAUUGGGCGUAAAGCGAGCGCAGGCGGUUAGAUAAGUCUGAAGUUAAAGGCAGUGGCUCAACCAUUGUAGGCUUUGGAAACUGUUUAACUUGAGUGCAGAAGGGGAGAGUGGAAUUCCAUGUGUAGCGGUGAAAUGCGUAGAUAUAUGGAGGAACACCGGUGGCGAAAGCGGCUCUCUGGUCUGUAACUGACGCUGAGGCUCGAAAGCGUGGGUAGCGAACAGG
Molecule: ribosomal RNA, 429 nt
Filed under: Bacteroidota bacterium
Lineage: Bacteria; Pseudomonadati; Bacteroidota
Description: Bacteroidetes bacterium partial 16S ribosomal RNA
Rfam family: Bacterial small subunit ribosomal RNA
Source: RNAcentral